GAUGAACGCUGGCGGCGUGCCUAAUACAUGCAAGUCGAGCGAACGGACGAGAAGCUUGCUUCUCUGAUGUUAGCGGCGGACGGGUGAGUAACACGUGGAUAACCUACCUAUAAGACUGGGAUAACUUCGGGAAACCGGCGCUAAUACCGGAUGAUAUUUUGAACCGCAUGGUUCAAAAGUGAAAGACGGUCUUGCUGUCACUUAUAGAUGGAUCCGCGCUGCAUUAGCUAGUUGGUAAGGUAACGGCUUACCAAGGCAACGAUGCAUAGCCGACCUGAGAGGGUGAUCGGCCACACUGGAACUGAGACACGGUCCAGACUCCUACGGGAGGCAGCAGUAGGGAAUCUUCCGCAAUGGGCGAAAGCCUGACGGAGCAACGCCGCGUGAGUGAUGAAGGUCUUCGGAUCGUAAAACUCUGUUAUUAGGGAAGAACAUAUGUGUAAGUAACUGUGCACAUCUUGACGGUACAUAAUCAGAAAGCCACGGCUAACUACGUG
This 497-nucleotide ribosomal RNA is filed under the name uncultured bacterium. Its description in RNAcentral is "partial 16S ribosomal RNA". It matches the Rfam family "Bacterial small subunit ribosomal RNA", at positions 28 to 507 of the family's 1533-position model. The record is from RNAcentral.